This 74-nucleotide transfer RNA is filed under the name Bacilli bacterium. Its description in RNAcentral is "tRNA-Met". It matches the Rfam family "tRNA". From Rfam's summary of the family: Transfer RNA (tRNA) molecules are approximately 80 nucleotides in length. Their secondary structure includes four short double-helical elements and three loops (D, anti-codon, and T loops). RNAcentral also lists the same sequence under 3 other names. Lineage: Bacteria; Bacillati; Bacillota; Bacilli. The record is from RNAcentral.
CGCGGGGUGGAGCAGUCUGGUAGCUCGUUGGGCUCAUAACCCAAAGGUCGGAGGUUCAAAUCCUCCCCCCGCAA